This 365-nucleotide long non-coding RNA is filed under the name Anser brachyrhynchus (Pink-footed goose). RNAcentral describes it as "lncRNA (ENSABRG00000006662.1)". Lineage: Eukaryota; Metazoa; Chordata; Aves; Anseriformes; Anatidae. The record is from RNAcentral.
CACAAAGCUCCAUUGUCAUCAGCAUUCUGUGCAUAAAGCUGCUGUGUGCUGAGGAGCUGCCAGGUACAUUAACUCUUGUCAACUUAACGGAGAUUUGUUAUAAGUGAAGCUGACUCCUUCGUAAGAAGUUCAGGCUGAGCCUUGACACUUAAUCUAAAUACUGAAGCUGAGGAGAUUUUACUGGAGGCUGAAGUCUUUGUCUUCACAAGGACCAUCUCUGAAAAAAAGACUGAGUAAAAACCAAAUGAGGGAAUUUCGUGGCUUGGCUCUGGCUGUAGAGAUGUAAGUCACCACAGUAGCGCUUCUCAGCUUUUUAGAAGCUGAUGUUUGCAAAUUAAUUACUUGGCCUUUAAAUAGUUCCAAAC